CAGUAGCCGCGGGAAUACAGAGGGUGCGAGCGUUAAUCGGAUUUACUGGGCGUAAAGCGUGCGUAGGCGGCUUCUUAAGUCGGAUGUGAAAUCCCUGAGCUUAACUUAGGAAUUGCAUUCGAUACUGGGAAGCUAGAGUAUGGGAGAGGAUGGUAGAAUUCCAGGUGUAGCGGUGAAAUGCGUAGAGAUCUGGAGGAAUACCGAUGGCGAAGGCAGCCAUCUGGCCUAAUACUGACGCUGAGGUACGAAAGCAUGGGGAGCAAACAGGAUUAGAUACCCCAGUAGUCCUUGUCUCUAAUAC
This 301-nucleotide ribosomal RNA is filed under the name uncultured bacterium. RNAcentral's name for it is "partial 16S ribosomal RNA". It matches the Rfam family "Bacterial small subunit ribosomal RNA", at positions 509 to 809 of the family's 1533-position model. The record is from RNAcentral.